UUUUCUUGACUCGAAUUCUUC
Molecule: non-coding RNA, 21 nt
Filed under: Caenorhabditis elegans
Lineage: Eukaryota; Metazoa; Nematoda; Chromadorea; Rhabditida; Rhabditidae
Source: RNAcentral